RNAcentral lists this ribosomal RNA (253 nucleotides) under uncultured bacterium. RNAcentral's name for it is "partial 16S ribosomal RNA". It matches the Rfam family "Bacterial small subunit ribosomal RNA", at positions 524 to 776 of the family's 1533-position model. The record is from RNAcentral.
UACGUAGGGUGCAAGCGUUAAUCGGAAUUACUGGGCGUAAAGCGUGCGCAGGCGGCUUUGCAAGUCAGAUGUGAAAUCCCCGGGCUUAACCUGGGAACUGCAUUUGUGACUGCAUGGCUGGAGUGCGGCAGAGGGGGAUGGAAUUCCGCGUGUAGCAGUGAAAUGCGUAGAUAUGCGGAGGAACACCGAUGGCGAAGGCAGUCUCCUGGCAAGUAUCUGACGCUCAGGUGCGAAAGCUAGGGGAGCGAACAGG